ACGCAGAAAGUGACCAGCUGGCAACCCUGCCGCCAACCGUUUCGGAGGCGCCGCGUUAUGCUUUCAAAGCGCCGCGGCAAUGCGAAUGACAGCCGUCACGCGAAUGGGUCUACCUGUCAAAUGAUCAUUUCCGGUUAUUCGCUCCUCACAGUUAUCACACGUUUCAGAGAGAAGAUAGAAGUUUAAGACGGCAUUUUGUGCAGUGAUUAUAAAAAAACUAGUUAAUAGAAUUACUACAGUGAAUAUUAGUUCAGUGAAUUUCCGUACAAAGCCUGUGAUUCCAAGAGAGUCAGUAUCCGCGUCGAUGAAAUCCGUGUCCGUAGUCCGCUGAUCCUGUUAUCGCAAGAUCCUGUAAAGAGAAAAGUCGAAGAUCCGUUUGAAGAUCGAUUGAUCGAUUCGAAGAUCGAUUGAGGUUAGAUUGCCAUAAGGGCGUGUGAGCAACAAAAGCUUACCGAAUUUUUGAAGCACCUGAAUACACUUUUCGCUAUCAAAACCGAUUUGGCUUUAAUUCACGCCCCGAAACCCGACA
Molecule: long non-coding RNA, 529 nt
Organism: Aedes albopictus (Asian tiger mosquito)
Lineage: Eukaryota; Metazoa; Arthropoda; Insecta; Diptera; Culicidae
Exons: 3
Source: RefSeq, a predicted model, not a curated record